RNAcentral lists this ribosomal RNA (478 nucleotides) under uncultured bacterium. RNAcentral's name for it is "bacterial SSU rRNA". It matches the Rfam family "Bacterial small subunit ribosomal RNA", at positions 28 to 524 of the family's 1533-position model. The record is from RNAcentral.
GAUGAACGCUGGCGGCGUGCUUAACACAUGCAAGUCGAACGUGAGAGGUAGCAAUAUCUUGAAAGUGGCGAACGGGUGAGUAACACGUAGGUGACCUGCCUCGGAGCGGGGGAUAACAGUUAGAAAUGACUGCUAAUACCGCAUGGAUCCACUGGGAUGGGAAGAAUGGUGGAGAAAAACUCUGGUGCUUCGAGAGGGGCCUGCGGUCGAUUAGCUAGUUGGUGGGGUAAAGGCCUACCAAGGCGACGAUCGAUAGCUGGUCUGAGAGGACGAUCAGCCACACGGGAACUGAGACACGGUCCCGACUCCUACGGGGGGCAGCAGUGAGGAAUAUUGGGCAAUGGGCGGAAGCCUGACCCAGCAACGCCGCGUGGAGGAAUGAAGGCCUUCGGGUUGUAAACUCCUUUGUCAGGGGAAGAGGAAGGACGGUACCCUGCGAAUAAGUCACGGCUAACUACGUGCCAGCAGCCGCGGUAAU